RNAcentral lists this small RNA (584 nucleotides) under Histoplasma capsulatum var. duboisii H88. RNAcentral describes it as "Histoplasma capsulatum H88 hypothetical RNA". Lineage: Eukaryota; Fungi; Ascomycota; Eurotiomycetes; Onygenales; Ajellomycetaceae. The record is from RNAcentral.
GUGAAGCUUGUGAAAGUCAGACUUCAGUUCCCCAAGGUAUUUCAUCGUGUGUCUUCCCACCCUGAACCUACGAAAAGUUGGAUUGCUAUUCCAUCCCGAAAGAGCUACCUUCUACGAUUUCGCCGUUUCUUUUUACCGACUCAAUCGCCGCCUCACGACGUUCCUUCACUUGAAUCCAGACGCCACGGUACCAGGCACAAAAUUUCCGAAUGGUACGUAGUCGAAGCAUUCCACGUGUGUGGGUUGACAUUGAGCAUCGGCAUACCCAGACGUAUAUAAUGAAAAGCGCAUGCUUUUUGAAGGUGACUGGAUUUGGCCCAGCGCAGUACAAGGAAAGCCACUAGGAUAUCACGGAUAGAAGAACAUAUACGCGCCAAUGUAAGCCUGUACUCCAUUACUUUUGUCGCAUACCCUUGGCCCCGAGAGGACUUUCUUUGUACCCAAAUCGGUCAAUAUCCAAGUGAUGGAAGCUCUCGUUCAUACUCUCCUCCAAUGUACCCUAUGAGCCGAAGAAGUGCGUUCUGCCUUCCCUUCCAAGUCAUAACCAGAGCAACCAUAGACUACUCCUCCAGUAUGUUUUCCAG